UACUGCAUCUCUCAGCUAAGCUCAA
RNAcentral lists this non-coding RNA (25 nucleotides) under Mus musculus (house mouse). Lineage: Eukaryota; Metazoa; Chordata; Mammalia; Rodentia; Muridae. The record is from RNAcentral.